AAUUUGAUAUGACUGAAAAUUAAGCUCUAGAAUUGGAAUGAUACAUAGAAGAUUAGCGUAGCCCUUGCACAAGGAUGACACCAAUUGAAAAAUAGUCAACUUUU
Molecule: small nuclear RNA, 104 nt
Organism: Lycium barbarum (goji berry)
Lineage: Eukaryota; Viridiplantae; Streptophyta; Magnoliopsida; Solanales; Solanaceae
Source: RefSeq, a predicted model, not a curated record